GGAAAGGUGUCCGAGUGGUUUAUGGUGAUGGUCUUGAAAACCAUUGUACAGAGAUGUACCGGAGGUUCAAAUCCUCUCCUUUCCG
This 85-nucleotide transfer RNA is filed under the name Bacteriophage sp. Its description in RNAcentral is "tRNA-Ser". It matches the Rfam family "tRNA". From Rfam's summary of the family: Transfer RNA (tRNA) molecules are approximately 80 nucleotides in length. Their secondary structure includes four short double-helical elements and three loops (D, anti-codon, and T loops). The record is from RNAcentral.